UUCCGUAGGUGAACCUGCGGAGGGAUCAUUACACAAUAAAAUAUGAAGGCUGUACGCGGCUGUGCUCUCGGGCCAGUUUUGCGGAGGCUGAAUUAUUUAUUACCCUUGUCUUUUGCGCACUUGUUGUUUCCUGGGCGGGUUCGCCCGCCACCAGGACCACAUCAUAAACCUUUUUUAUGCAGUUGCAAUCAGCGUCAGUAUAACAAAUGUAAAUCAUUUACAACUUUCAACAACGGAUCUCUUGGUUCUGGCAUCGAUGAAGAACGCAGCGAAAUGCGAUACGUAGUGUGAAUUGCAGAAUUCAGUGAAUCAUCGAAUCUUUGAACGCACAUUGCGCCCUUUGGUAUUCCAAAGGGCAUGCCUGUUCGAGCGUCAUUUGUACCCUCAAGCUUUGCUUGGUGUUGGGCGUUUUUUGUCUUUGGUUGCCAAAGACUCGCCUUAAAAGGAUUGGCAGCCGGCCUACUGGUUUCGCAGCGCAGCACAUUUUUGCGCUUGCAAUCAGCAAAAGAGGACGGCAAUCCAUCAAGACUCCUUCUCACGUUUGACCUCGGAUCAGGUAGGGAUACCCGCUGAACUUAAGCAUAUCAAUAAGCGGAGG
Molecule: ribosomal RNA, 598 nt
Filed under: Curvularia lunata
Lineage: Eukaryota; Fungi; Ascomycota; Dothideomycetes; Pleosporales; Pleosporaceae
Description: eukaryotic LSU rRNA
Rfam family: 5.8S ribosomal RNA (bases 222-375)
Source: RNAcentral